GACGAACGCUGGCGGCGCGCCUAACACAUGCAAGUCGAACGAGCGAGAGAGAGCUUACUUUCUCAAGCGAGUGGCGAACGGGUGAGUAACGCGUGAGGAACCUGCCUCAAAGAGGGGGACAACAGUUGGAAACGACUGCUAAUACCGCAUAAGCCCACAGCUCCGCAUGGAGCAGAGGGAAAAGGAGCAAUCCGCUUUGAGAUGGCCUCGCGUCCGAUUAGCUAGUUGGUGAGGUAACGGCCCACCAAGGCGACGAUCGGUAGCCGGACUGAGAGGUUGAACGGCCACAUUGGGACUGAGACACGGCCCAG
Molecule: ribosomal RNA, 311 nt
Filed under: uncultured bacterium
Lineage: Bacteria
Description: bacterial SSU rRNA
Rfam family: Bacterial small subunit ribosomal RNA
Source: RNAcentral